UACGGAGGGUGCAAGCGUUAUCCGGAUUUACUGGGUUUAAAGGGUGCGUAGGCGGGUUGUUAAGUCAGUGGUGAAAGAUUCGAGCUCAACUCGGAAACUGCCAUUGAUACUGACAAUCUUGAAUAUAGUUGAGGUGGGCGGAAUGUGUCAUGUAGCGGUGAAAUGCUUAGAUAUGACACAGAACACCGAUUGCGAAGGCAGCUUGCUAAACUAUUAUUGACGCUGAGGCACGAAAGCGUGGGGAGCGAACAGG
Molecule: ribosomal RNA, 253 nt
Filed under: uncultured prokaryote
Description: partial 16S ribosomal RNA
Rfam family: Bacterial small subunit ribosomal RNA
Source: RNAcentral